CGAAUGAGAUGUCAAGUCUUUCGUAUUGUGUUGAGUACAUUGAUGCGUCUUAUUGUACUUAGAUGGGAACUCCAUCUCUUAACACAUAUUUGUCAUAUUGCUUUAGACAAAACAACGGAUCUCUCUUUAGAGCAAAGACCUUGACUAAAGGCACUCGAUGAUUGUAUUGAUGAUGAUUUUCCAUCAAUCGGCUUAGGCGCUCUAUAACUAGUGGAUACAUAUUGGCAUCUCUUGAUCCAUCAAGAGUCCAUGUAAAUCCAGAAUGAACACGCAAAGGCAUAAUUCACCAUAUCCCUUCCAAAUCAAGUAGAGUCCAUGUGCGUUUCAAUACAUUUAGCAAACGCAUGCUCCUAUGGUUUGGAGCCACUUGAUUCAGAUGAAUGAAGUCUGUUUAAGAUCUUCAUGUAUAUCUCUGAUCCCAUAGAGAUGUUAUUAUGACCACAUUCAUAGGCUGCAUGUUCAGUUAUUCGGAAACUACCAAACUAACAAAGUAGUGGAGUUCAAUGACAUCCAUUACGAGAGCAUAUCUCAUCGUAGUUGAUCCCAGUGCUUGUUAGUGAAAGACCUUGCGCCAUAAGGUGAGUCUAAGCUCUUACUCUCACUACGCUAUCUAACAAAGGCAUAGUUGAUAGGGUUUAGCUUGCGGUGUCGGCAUCACCU
Molecule: long non-coding RNA, 660 nt
Filed under: Fragaria vesca (wild strawberry)
Lineage: Eukaryota; Viridiplantae; Streptophyta; Magnoliopsida; Rosales; Rosaceae
Description: long non-coding RNA (FVES_LNC004538)
Source: RNAcentral